CAGCAGCCGCGGUAACACGUAGGGUGCGAGCGUUAAUCGGAAUUACUGGGCGUAAAGCGUGCGCAGGCGGUUAUAUAAGACAGAUGUGAAAUCCCCGGGCUCAACCUGGGACCUGCAUUUGUGACUGUAUAGCUAGAGUACGGUAGAGGGGGAUGGAAUUCUGCGUGUAGCAGUGAAAUGCGUAGAUAUGCGGAGGAACACCGAUGGCGAAGGCAAUCCCCUGGACCUGUACUGACGCUCAUGCACGAAAGCGUGGGGAGCAAACAGGAUUAGAUACCCCAGUAGUCCCUGUCUCUUAUAC
RNAcentral lists this ribosomal RNA (301 nucleotides) under uncultured bacterium. RNAcentral's name for it is "partial 16S ribosomal RNA". It matches the Rfam family "Bacterial small subunit ribosomal RNA", at positions 509 to 807 of the family's 1533-position model. The record is from RNAcentral.